GGAGAAAAUCUGCGUAAAAAAUGGAGGAUGAAGGAUGGCGUUGGGAGAGAAGAAGGGGAAUGAAGAAUACGAGUGAAUUGACAAGUUUGCCCCUGCCAAACUCACGUGAUUUUCACAUGUCUAGUAUUCCGGCGGAAAUCACCGGAAAAUACCAUUUUUUGGGCAACGUGCAACAAAAACACAAGUUUAGGUAAAAACGUGCAAAAAAAAAUUGUUUGGGGGGCAAAGCGCAAAACAUGCCUUAGUUUAGGGGCAAACUGCUUUUUACUCAUAUAAAUAAUUCAAAC
This 287-nucleotide long non-coding RNA is filed under the name Erythranthe guttata (spotted monkey flower). Its description in RNAcentral is "long non-coding RNA (EGUT_LNC000627)". Lineage: Eukaryota; Viridiplantae; Streptophyta; Magnoliopsida; Lamiales; Phrymaceae. The record is from RNAcentral.